CUGUAUGUGAGCGCCUCAAUCUGGUUGGGUGAGCUCGGGCUAUAUAAAAGGGAGCUAAAGCUACUCUCUCUGUCAGUCAUUAGUCUUGCUAGGCGGGAGGUGGGCAGUGUUUCCGCUGAAUGGAUUAGUACCUGCAAAGGCUGAAGACACUGUUGAAGAGGAGCUGAGGGAGUUUCUUUGAUGCUAAUGUUGAGGGAUGCUCAUUAGCCACGGGAUACACUGAUCACCGCAGACAUGCUCAUCGGACUGGGUAGACUGACUCCGGGAUACUUCAGACUCCUCCAGAGGCAGGUGGCUGGUGAGGUCCAGACACAGCCAAAAGACCGGAUGGUGAAUCACAUCGCCAUGCUGUUAGCCAUAGUGGGACUGGGCUUGUCCUACUACAGCACACGGAAAAUGACAGCACAGGCCAGAUCCAUACCAGCACCCUGAACCAGGCAGGCCUGGGGGAGAGAGAGGGAGAGGCCAGCCAUAAGGAGAAGAGGGAGAGUUUGAAUGCCAAUCAUGGUCAGGAUCACCCAAGGGACACAUCUGACAAGCAUAUAGCGUACAGGUUUCUGUCAGAAAUGGUCAAUGCUUUGCAAAUGGAUAGCCUUUGAAUUCUUCGUCAGAUGGUUGUUUUUAACUUUGAAUAGGUUUUUGGAUAUAUAGAAUGGGGAAUGCAGCAAAAAGGGAUGGUUUUCGGGAUAUCAUUGUCAUGUUUGAUUAAGAUUUAAUAACUACCCUCCAACAAGUAUUGUCACGCAGGGUGCUGUGAUCCCGGUUGGAGUGUAGCGCACAUUCAUGUAAUAUUUGAUAAUGAAUGUCAUGUGUUGCAUGGACAUGAGUUACAAAUAGCAUACAGGCGGUUGCCAGCACUGUAAAGCAGCCAGGGAGAGUGGACCACAGAAAAAAAAAAAACAGUGUAAUUCCACUGAUAAUAUUGUACUAAAGGAGCUCAGUUACAAUAGACACAAAUACUGAAAAAUAUGCAUGUUAAUGGGGUUUUAACUUUGUAGAUUGGAGUCAAAUCUUAUCAAUGGUUACCAAGCACUUUUAUCCUUCUUAUGAAUGUUUUUCUUAGUAAUCAUAUUUUAAGCUUCAUAUGUUGUGCUAAGAAACUAUAAAAAUGAAUGGUGGCUUUGUACCAGUAAUGGAAGAUACUAAUGAGUAAGCCAUUUAUUUGCAUGUUUAUGGAUUUCUAAAUAACACAUUUGCGCGUCAGUUUUGAGGCCUGUGCGUUUAAUGCAGCCUUCUGUUUCCUACUUCCAUUUUCCUGCCCUCUCCCUCCUAAGGACUCCAGAUUUUAGUUUUUCUUUGCCUCGGUUCACAAAUGUCCCCGUCAGCAAGGUCAGGUUUCUUCUUACCGUUUCCCUGACAGCAUUUAUCUGGAGGGGCAGAGAUUGUUAUGAAGCUAAAACAGGUCUUACCAGAGCAGGCUGUACCCAGAUUUGCAAUUUACAUUUAGCUUUUUCCGAGGAGUACUAUGGCUUGUGAUGUGCUGCACCAUGCUUUUCUGUGACUUACCAUUGCGUAUUGCUACAGUAUGCUUUGCUACACUUUGCAAUGCUUUCACCAUCCUCCCCAUCAAAAAGUAGGCCAGCCUUAGCCGUUUAACUAGGACUGAGUUCCAGUUUUAAAUACUACAUUUGAUAACAAUAUGGUAGGAGUUUGACAAACUGUGAUCAAGGAGAUACUGUAAUGUUGGUUACUUUAUAUACUAUAUACUUGAAUUGCUAAGGCAAAAGCUAGUUAUUUUAACUUGGGAACUAUAGGUGCCAAGCCUUUUUAAGUGCACGCUAUAUAUUGCAGGUGUUUAAUUUUAAAGCUGCUUUACAGAUAAAAUACAUGACUGUUCUAAAACACGCUGGUCUAUAAAAACAGGCAAAACCUAAAGGGCUUCAGUGAGGAUCAUCUGGUGCCUCAGGCUGGAUGAUGCGUCCUGUUUUUCCAUCUGGGAGAGUGCAUGUUUUUGUAGCAGACGUGAUUCGGUGUGACAAGCAGAAUCCAGUAUAGGGACACGUGCCGGCCUCUUGCAUGCAGUCUGCCUGACCUGGUUACAGAUCAGCCUCCCCAGGCAUCAGAUAGAGAGGGGAACGCUUCAAUAGAGACCCAGAAACACGGACGCCAGAGGAUGAUCUGUAUUGGCACAUGUGUUAUAUAAGCCAUAGCUGUGACGCAGGCAUGGAACGGGAUGCUGUUCUUCGUUAUCGUAUUUUAAAGGUGUGUGUGGUUUUUUUUUUUGUUUAUUUGGAAAGGAUAACAUGCCUUCAUAAUAUGAGCAUAAUGUUAAAUUCCCUACAGGUCUAGUUUAAAAUGUACGGGUGACGUAUCCUAUAGGUUUAUAUAUUAUACUGUGAAUUUUAUUUUUUCCUUGUGAAAUUUUCCCAUGAAAAUGACAGCAGUUAGGGCCCUGCUCAAACUUAAGGACUGCUUUAAAGAAUGUUUUGUUAAGGAAUGUGCUUUUGAAGUGUUUUAUAAACAUUCUCGUGGGUUAGUGCUUUGACACUUUGAUUUAUUUGAACAUGCUACAACUAGAAUAUUAACAUGUGGUUUUCAUUUUAGUUAUAUAUAUAUAUAUAUAUAUAUAUAUAUAUAUAUAUAUAUAUAUAUAUAUAUAUGUAUAUAUAACUGGUAUUACAUGUAUAUUACUAUAUAACCUGCUGUAAGUAUUACUGUAACCUCUUUUAAAGUGCCUUUAGACAAAUUGAACCCUGUUUCAUUGUGAUACAAUGGAGUUGAUGAAACUUAAAUAGUCUAAUGAAGUUGAAACAUUUGUCUUUAUUUUGUCCUGUUUUCUUACAGAAUUUAUAAUUGAAUGUAUGAAUUUAUGGAUAAUUUAUCAAUGAUAAAAAUGAGAAACAUUAAUAUGUAAAAGCUUUUAAAGAAAGAAAUUCCCAUUUAUAUGAAAUAAUAAAUAAGUGAAUUAUUACAUAAUAAUUAUAGAAAGAAUAAUCCUUGAUAUACCUUUCAAGCCAUUAUUUUUCUACCUAUAUGUGUGAAAGAGACAAACACUUUGAGCCUGUUCUUCUUACUGGACACAAUGUGACAAAUUUGCCUUUUGUAUUGCUGCUAAAUGUUAAAAUACAUAAAUAAGCAUCUCUAAACACAAA
Acipenser ruthenus (sterlet) is the source of this 3092-nucleotide long non-coding RNA. RefSeq lists it as uncharacterized. The transcript is spliced from 3 exons. The record is from RefSeq and is a predicted model, not a curated record. NCBI's taxonomy places the organism in Eukaryota, Metazoa, Chordata, Actinopteri, Acipenseriformes, Acipenseridae.